RNAcentral lists this ribosomal RNA (443 nucleotides) under uncultured bacterium. Its description in RNAcentral is "partial 16S ribosomal RNA". It matches the Rfam family "Bacterial small subunit ribosomal RNA", at positions 338 to 795 of the family's 1533-position model. The record is from RNAcentral.
CCUACGGGGGGCAGCAGUAGGGAAUAUUGCUCAAUGGGGGAAACCCUGAAGCAGCAACGCCGCGUGAAGGAAGAAGGCUUUCGGGUUGUAAACUUCUUUUGUCAGGGACGAAGAAAGUGACGGUACCUGACGAAUAAGCCACGGCUAACUACGUGCCAGCAGCCGCGGUAAUACGUAGUUGGCAAGCGUUAUCCGGAUUUACUGGGUGUAAAGGGCGUGUAGGCGGGACUGCAAGUCAGAUGUGAAAACCACGGGCUCAACCUGUGGACUGCAUUUGAAACUGUAGUUCUUGAGUACUGGAGAGGCAGACGGAAUUCCUAGUGUAGCGGUGAAAUGCGUAGAUAUUAGGAGGAACACCAGUGGCGAAGGCGGUCUGCUGGACAGCAACUGACGCUGAGGCGCGAAAGCGUGGGGAGCAAACAGGAUUAGAUACCCGGGUAGUC